GAUGAACGCUAGCGGGAGGCUUAACACAUGCAAGUCGAGGGGCAGCAUAGGGUAGCAAUACUCUGAUGGCGACCGGCAAACGGGUGAGUAACGCGUAUGCAACCUACCCUGUACAGGGGGAUAACCCGGAGAAAUUCGGACUAAUAUCCCGUAAUAAUAUCCGGAGGCAUCUUUGGAUAUUUAAAGUUCCGACGGUACGGGAUGGGCAUGCGUAACAUUAACUGGUUGGUAAGGUAACGGCUUACCAAGGCUAUGAUGUUUAGGGGUCCUGAGAGGGUGGUCCCCCACACUGGUACUGAGACACGGACCAGACUCCUACGGGAGGCAGCAGUGAGGAAUAUUGGUCAAUGGGCGCAAGCCUGAACCAGCCAUCCCGCGUGCAGGAAGACGGCCCUAUGGGUUGUUAAACUGCUUUUCCAGGGAGAGAAACUUACGCACGUGUUGCGUGACUGACGGUACCUGGGAAUAAGCAUCGGCUAACUCCGUG
RNAcentral lists this ribosomal RNA (487 nucleotides) under uncultured bacterium. RNAcentral's name for it is "bacterial SSU rRNA". It matches the Rfam family "Bacterial small subunit ribosomal RNA", at positions 28 to 507 of the family's 1533-position model. The record is from RNAcentral.